This 291-nucleotide ribosomal RNA is filed under the name uncultured prokaryote. RNAcentral describes it as "partial 16S ribosomal RNA". It matches the Rfam family "Bacterial small subunit ribosomal RNA", at positions 505 to 796 of the family's 1533-position model. The record is from RNAcentral.
GUGUCGCCGCCGCGGUAAUACGGAGGGUGCGAGCGUUAAUCGGAAUUACUGGGCGUAAAGCGCAUGCAGGCGGCCUGUUAAGUCAGAUGUGAAAGCCCGGGGCUUAACCUCGGAAUUGCAUUUGAAACUGGCAGGCUAGAGUCUUGUAGAGGGGGGUAGAAUUUCAGGUGUAGCGGUGAAAUGCGUAGAGAUCUGAAGGAAUACCAGUGGCGAAGGCGGCCCCCUGGACAAAGACUGACGCUCAGAUGCGAAAGCGUGGGGAGCAAACAGGAUUAGAAACCCUAGUAGUCC